Oncorhynchus tshawytscha (Chinook salmon) is the source of this 1775-nucleotide long non-coding RNA. The record is from Ensembl. NCBI's taxonomy places the organism in Eukaryota, Metazoa, Chordata, Actinopteri, Salmoniformes, Salmonidae.
CGUCGUUAAGGCUAAUCUGGUGCUGGCUAAAGCUAAAACUGGCGAGUGUAGAGAGUAUAGAGAUAUUGUUAUCCACGUCGGCACCAACGAUGUUAGGAUGAAACAGUCAGAGGUCACCAAAAUUCAUUAAAAAUCCUACAAUGUGAUUUUCUGGAUUUUUUUUCUCAUUUUGUCUGUCAUAGUUGAAGUGUACCUAUGAUGAAAAUUACAGGCCUCUCUCAUCUUUUUAAGUGGGAGAACUUGCACAAUUGGUGGCUGACUAAAUACUUUUUUGCCCCACUAAGUAUUUGAUACAUCAGAAAAGCAGAACUUAAUAUUUGGUACAGAAACCUUUGUUUGCAGUUACAGAGAUCAUACAUUUCCUGUAGUUCUUGACCUCGUUUGCAUACACUGCAGCAGGGAUUUUGGCCCACUCCUCCAUACAGACCUUCUCCAGAUCCUUCAGGUUUCGGGGCUGUCGCUGGGCAAUACAGACUUUCAGCUCCCCUCCAAAGAUUUUCUAUUGGGUUCAGGUCUGGAGACUGGCUAGGCCACUCCAGGACCUUGAGAUGCUUCUUACAGAGCCACUCCUUAGUUGCCCUGGCGGUGUGUUUCGGGUAGUUGUCAUGCUGGAAGACCCAGCCACGACCCAUCUUCAAUGCUCUUACUGAGGGAAGGAGGUUGUUGGCCAAGAUCGCGUGAUGCAUGGCCCCAUCCAUUCUCCCUUCAAUACGGUGCAGUCAUCCUGUCCCCUUUGCAGAAAAGCAUCCACAAAGAAUGAUGUUUCCACCUCCAUGCCUCACGGUUGGCAUGGUGUUCAUGGGGAUGUACACAACUUUCUUCUUCGCUCCAACCACGGCAAGUGGAGUUUAGACCAAAAAGCUCUAUUUUUGUCUCAUCAGACCACAUGACCUUCUCCCAUUCGUCACCUGGAUAAUCCAGAUGGUCAUUGGCAAACUUCAGACGGGCCUGGACAUGUGCUGGCUUGAGCAGGGGGACCUUGCGUGCGCUGCAGGAUUUUAAUCCAUGACGGCGUAGUGUGUUACUAAUGGUUUUCUUUGAAACUGGUCCCAGCUCUCUUCAGGUCAUUGACCAGGUCCUGCCGUGUAGUGCUGGGCUGAUCCCUCACCUUCCUCCUGAUCAUUGAUGCCCCAUCGAGGUUCUCAUCCACAUCACAAUGGAUGUUUUCAUUAGCCAAACAUCUUGGGAAGAAUCUUCGGGCGAAUCCAGGCCUGACACUGGUCUGCCGCCGACAGAGAUGAACUGGCGCCGACAGCAUCAAAGCUGGGACCGAGAGACUGAAAAACAGCUUCUAUCUCAAGGCCAUCAGACUGUUAAACAGCCACCACUAACAUUGAGUGGCUACUGCCAACACACUGUCAAUGACACUGACUCUACUCCAGCCACUUUAAUCAUGGGAAUUGAUGGGAAAUGAUGUAAAUAUAUCACUAGCCACUUUAAACAAUGCUACCUUAUAUAAUGUUACUUACCCUACAUUGUUCAUCUCAUAUGCAUACGUUGAUACUGUACUCUAUAUCAUCGACUGCAUCCUGAUGUAAUACAUGUAUCACUAGCCACUUUAACUAUGCCACUUGGUUUACAUACUUAUCUCAUAUGUAUAUACUGUACUCGAUAUCAUCUACUGUAUCUUGCCUAUGCUGCUCUGUACCAUCACUCAUUCAUAUAUCCUUAUGUACAUAUUCUUUAUCCCCUUACACUGUGUAUAAGACAGUAGUUUUUUUUGGAAUUGUUAGUUAGAUUACUUGCUCGUUAUUACUGCAUUGUCGGAACUAGAA